This 341-nucleotide RNase P RNA is filed under the name Oscillospiraceae bacterium. RNAcentral's name for it is "RNase P RNA component class A". It matches the Rfam family "Bacterial RNase P class A". From Rfam's summary of the family: Ribonuclease P (RNase P) is a ubiquitous endoribonuclease, found in archaea, bacteria and eukarya as well as chloroplasts and mitochondria. Its best characterised activity is the generation of mature 5'-ends of tRNAs by cleaving the 5'-leader elements of precursor-tRNAs. The record is from RNAcentral. Lineage: Bacteria; Bacillati; Bacillota; Clostridia; Eubacteriales; Oscillospiraceae.
CGACCGGGUCGGACAGCCGCGGCUGCAAGCUGAAAAGCUGCAGGUGAGGAAAGUCCGGGCUUCACAGGGCAAGGAUAACGGGUAACGCCCGCCGAGGGUGACCUCAGGACAAGUGCAACAGAGAUAUACCGCCGAAAGGCAAGGGUGAAAAGGUGGGGUAAGAGCCCACCCGGCCCAUGGUGACAUGGGUUUUACGAUGUAAACUCUAUCCCGAAGCAACGCCGUGGAGGAACACAAGGUCUGCCCGACCGUUCCGGGGAGGCGGCUGGAACUUGCGAGCAAUUGCAAGUCUAGAUAGAUGGCUGUCAAGACAGAACCCGGCUUAUAGACCCGAUCGCGCU